This 425-nucleotide ribosomal RNA is filed under the name uncultured bacterium. RNAcentral's name for it is "bacterial SSU rRNA". It matches the Rfam family "Bacterial small subunit ribosomal RNA", at positions 917 to 1341 of the family's 1533-position model. The record is from RNAcentral.
GGGCCCGCACAAGCGGUGGAGCAUGUGGUUUAAUUCGAUGCAACGCGAAGAACCUUACCUACUCUUGACAUCCCUGGAACCCUCUGGAGACAGAGGGGUGCCUUCGGGAGCCAGGUGACAGGUGCUGCAUGGCUGUCGUCAGCUCGUGUCGUGAGAUGUUGGGUUAAGUCCCGUAACGAGCGCAACCCUCGUCCUUAGUUGCCAGCACGUCAUGGUGGGAACUCUAAGGAGACUGCCGGUGAUAAACCGGAGGAAGGUGGGGAUGAUGUCAAGUCCUCAUGGCCUUUAUGUCUAGGGCUGCACACGUCCUACAAUGGUACGGACAAACGGACGCAAUACCGCGAGGUGGAGCAAAUCCUAGAAACCGUGCCUCAGUUCGGAUUGCAGGCUGCAACUCGCCUGCAUGAAGCCGGAAUCGCUAGUAA